This 253-nucleotide ribosomal RNA is filed under the name uncultured bacterium. Its description in RNAcentral is "partial 16S ribosomal RNA". It matches the Rfam family "Bacterial small subunit ribosomal RNA", at positions 524 to 776 of the family's 1533-position model. The record is from RNAcentral.
UACGAAGGGGGCUAGCGUUGCUCGGAAUCACUGGGCGUAAAGGGUGCGUAGGCGGGUCUUUAAGUCAGGGGUGAAAUCCUGGAGCUCAACUCCAGAACUGCCUUUGAUACUGAAGAUCUUGAGUUCGGGAGAGGUGAGUGGAACUGCGAGUGUAGAGGUGAAAUUCGUAGAUAUUCGCAAGAACACCAGUGGCGAAGGCGGCUCACUGGUCCGGUACUGACGCUGAUGUGCGAAAGCGUGGGGAGCAAACAGG